GCGGCCGCGGAGGCGCGCAGUGGCGGGGGGAGGGGGCUCUACGGGGUGGCCGGUCCUGCUGCCGUUGCCACUGCUACCGCCGCUGCCAUAUUGGGUUCUUACUGUACAGGCAGCCGCUGUGGUCAUGUGACCCCGCGCGCGCGCGCAGCCGUCACUACUGUACGCAGCAGGCCGCGCGAACGAGCGCGCACUCGCGCGCGCCCCCAGCCUCGGCGCCAGAGCCCGCAGCUGCAGCAGUUAGCCACGCCCCCGCACUUCCGGUCGCAGGGCCUCGCGCGCUUGCGCACGUCGGAGGGCCGCCCCUGGUCCGUGGGUCGGAUAUCUGGCGGUCACACCCAGCGCGAAGAUCUGCGGGCGGAAACGGAAUCUGCUCCUUCCGGGAAAGGCUGGCUGCGCGGUUGCGUGCAGCGUGUGUUGAGGAGCAGCUCUGGAAACUUAAAGAGCCCGACGAUCAAGUGAUCUUGCCAACUACCAUUUUAAUCAACUUCAUGUUUUAUUUUGUUGUGGUGGUACAGAGCCCAAUGCAAGCCCUGGCAGAUGUCUUCAACACCAGAGUGACACUCAGGCCAGGAUUGAGGGCUGGAAGCACAGGGGCAAGAAAUACCUUUGAAACACUCCAGUGCCCAAAUUGCUCACUGGUGUUUCUGCCUUGUGAGCCAGGGCACGAGGCUUUGUUUGGGUCACUACUUUUCAUUCCUUCCAAGAUGGACAAGAUGUUUGUUUUGUGCACAGAAUAGAUCAGUGUCUUGAACAUGCUACGCAAGCCCCCUAACAGCCAAGCGAUUCCAGCAGCUCUACAGACACCCUUUCACUGAGCAGUUAUUUCUCCUCAGAUGUUCUGAUUGCUGUGGGCAGCCUCCAAACACUUUGAAAAAGCUGGAGAGAAAGGUAAACUUGAAAAGGGGAAUGCAAGAUAGAGGAGGCAAAGGGAGAGAAGCAGGCUCAACUGUGUUCAUCUCAACAGGGCUGGGGCCUGCAGGCUGCUGGCAGCACCAAGCUAAGGUGCAUUUCCACUCAACGGAAAGACCUCCAUCCUAAACCAAGGGGACAGAGGUUAAUGCUUUAUAUAUAUUUAUAUAUUUAUAUAUUACAUAUGUCCCAUAUGUAUAAAGUGACAAGAAUGGGCCACUUUGUGUAACUUUAAUUAAAGGACAUAGCAACAGACAUAGAAAUUUGAUCCUAAUUAAGGCCCUUACUUUGUCAAUCAAAUGUCUGAUACAGUAAAAGAAACUGGAGAAAGACAGAGACUGAGAUCCAGCCUCCUCUGGUAGCCCUGUCUCCAGGUUAUCUUACAUUGAGUGUCGUGCCCCCUGUACAGGUAAACAAACACACACAUAAACACACACGUACAAUACCACAGGCAGGAGCACCUCCUCUGACCACACCUUGGGCCCAGCCUUUGGCUGCGGUGCUGAAGUGGAGUAUAUUGUGCUAUAAGACUGAGGGUAGUGAACCAGACAAUGUGGAGUCAUUGUGUCCAAGUGAUGAAUGGGGUGACUCGUGCAGCUUCAUCUAUAAAUGACAGGUCAGGGGGAGGUCCCUCAAUGCCCAGAUCAUAUCAGGAGAUUUCUACACACAGCUCCUGUUCCAGAGAAAGCCAUUACUCUGAUUUGAAUCCUGAGUGUCAAUCACAGGGCUCUGACGGAAACCUAGGAUUCUCUUGAAGGGCAGGCAGCCACAAGGCUCAGCCAUUCAGUCCAGUAGAGCAGUAGAGAGUACAACAGUGGAGGCAAAGCAAGUGAUCCUCAGACAGGACCUUAACUGAUGCAAGACAAGACCCUGGAUGGUGCAAGAGGGGCUCGUAUCCCAAAAGGAGUAGAAGGGCCUGCUGCCCUUUGCCACACAAAACUUCUGGCAGAUCUGUCAGCUUCAUGCCUUCCAUAAGUAACAGACCUGCUCAUAAGCCAGGGAAGGAGACUCCCAACAUUAGGGCACUUGAAAUCCUAACUCCCUGUUUUCUCUCACUGAAAUUACCCACCACCACCUACCAAAAUAUACAUAUUGAAAAUAAGUCAACAUAUUUGGCAGUAUGAUUUUUAGUAUUAAGAGAAUUUCGGAAUUUUUCAUCCUGAUUUUACACUCAGUAAUAAUUAAGUAGUGAACUGUUAAAUGCUGACAGCAGUGCUUAGCAGCAGCUUCUGAGUAGCUUCAGGACUUGGAAAAGAUUUGACAUUGGGCUAGGCAUGAUGAUAACAUAUCUGUAAUCCCUGCACUCUAGAGGCAGAGGCAGGAGAAUAGCUGUAAGCUUCAUCCACUCUGGUCUACACAGUGUGUUCCAGGCCAGCCAGGGCUACUCAGAGAACCCUGUCUCAGAAUAAAGCAAAGCAACACAAAACAGCCCAGAUAGAGGACUAUGGGUUUGUUUUCCUUAGAGGCAUCAGAAACACAAUUAGGGAAGGAAUCCAAGUUAGUUGUAGAACAGCUAGAACUGGAUGGUUUUAAUUUAAACUUUUUAAUUUAUUAUUUAUUUUCUCUUUUUUGCUAUGGAGUCAAGGGAGACCUUGAACUCCUGAUUUAUCUGCCUCUGUCUCCCAGGUGCUGGGAUUAAAGGUGUGCAUGCACCACCAGACUCAGUCUAAACCCAACUGUAAGAAACUUAUUUCAUCUUUAGUUAUGUGUAUGUCUGUAUCUGUAGGAGGGUAUGUUCAUGUGUGCACAGGUCAAUGCAAAGGCCAUAGGAGAGUUCCAGAUCCCCUGGAAACCCACCGUGGGUCCCUCUGGAAGAGCAGCAAGUGCUAUUAACCACUGAACCAUCUCUCCAGCUUUGAAAAAUUUUUUAAUUAAGGUUUCAGUUUUAAAAUGGGCUAUCAUCACCGGCAAUAAUUCUACCUCAACCUGAGUGACUCCAAACAAUUUGUGUGGAAUUAAAUAUUAAAAAUAAAUACAUUUUAAAAAUAAAGACUGGGUAUCAUAGCUCACAUCUAUAGCCCCAGCACCUGGGAAGCUGAGGCAGGAAUAACUCAAUUUUGAGGCAAGGUGGGCCACAGAGUAAGUGAAUACUAGUAGCAAGCCAGGACCACACCUUAACAAAAAGAAAAAGAAAAAGAAAAGAAAAAGAAGAGGAAGCAGCCAGAUUGGCUCAGCAGUUAAGAGCAUAUAUUGCUCCUCCAGAAGACCUGAGUUCAAGUCCCAGCACUCACACCAGGUGACUCACAACCACCUGUGACUCCAGCUCCAGGGGUCCGUGCCUCAAUAAUAAAAAUAAAUCUUAAAAAAAUAUGUUUUAUCUUGCAUGUAAAAAAUAAAGGUCAAUGAAAAUUAACUUUUUAAAAUAGAAAUUUACUUCUCACUUGCAAUACCCAGAGACAUUUGGGGUGGUCACAAAGGGAGGUGAGGGAGGACCAAGUCACACAAGUAGUAAAGAAUGGAUGGAUCUUUCAACAGAAUAGUCCCCUCCCCCAAGAUGUGACUAAGAAAUAGGGGUAAAAGGUAAAUCUGGCAAAGA
This 3445-nucleotide long non-coding RNA is filed under the name Mus pahari (shrew mouse). Its description in RNAcentral is "lncRNA (MGP_PahariEiJ_G0003847.1)". The record is from RNAcentral. Lineage: Eukaryota; Metazoa; Chordata; Mammalia; Rodentia; Muridae.